This 131-nucleotide ribosomal RNA is filed under the name Galium pusillosetosum. RNAcentral describes it as "5.8S ribosomal RNA". It matches the Rfam family "5.8S ribosomal RNA", at positions 1 to 127 of the family's 154-position model. Rfam says of the family: 5.8S ribosomal RNA (5.8S rRNA) is a component of the large subunit of the eukaryotic ribosome. It is transcribed by RNA polymerase I as part of the 45S precursor that also contains 18S and 28S rRNA. Lineage: Eukaryota; Viridiplantae; Streptophyta; Magnoliopsida; Gentianales; Rubiaceae. The record is from RNAcentral.
GUACGACUGUCGGCAACGGAUAUCUAGGCUCUCGCAUCGAUGAAGAACGUAGCAAAAUGCGAUACUUGGUGUGAAUUGCAGAAUCCCGUGAAUCAUUGAGUCUUUGAACGCAAGUUGCGCCCGAAGCCUUC